Molecule: small RNA, 542 nt
Filed under: Pan troglodytes (chimpanzee)
Lineage: Eukaryota; Metazoa; Chordata; Mammalia; Primates; Hominidae
Description: retained intron
Source: RNAcentral
CAGCUCCCCACGCCUGGACUAAGAGGUCCAUCCUUGGGGCUGAGGCUGGGGGCAGGGUGGAGCCUUGCCUGUGGUGAGAGUCCCUCUCUCUGUCCCCCCUACCCCAGAGUUUUACAAAGAAUUGGCCUGGGUCCCUGAGGCACAAAGGAAACACACAGCCAAGAAGGCGCCCGACGGCACUGUCAUCCCCAACGGCUACUGUGACUUCUGUCUGGGGGGCUCCAAGAAGACGGGGUGUCCCGAGGACCUCAUCUCCUGUGCAGACUGUGGGCGAUCAGGACACCCCUCGUGUUUACAAUUCACGGUGAACAUGACGGCAGCCGUGCGGACCUACCGCUGGCAGUGCAUCGAGUGCAAAUCCUGCAGCCUGUGCGGAACCUCCGAGAACGACGACCAGCUGCUGUUUUGUGAUGACUGCGAUCGGGGUUACCACAUGUACUGCCUGAGUCCCCCCAUGGCGGAGCCCCCGGAAGGGAGCUGGAGCUGUCACCUCUGUCUCCGGCACCUGAAGGAAAAGGCUUCUGCUUACAUCACCCUCACCU